CACCGUUUGCAAGAAUUUUAUCAACCCAAGCUGGGGUUAGUUUGUUUAUUUUUCAUUCGUUUUUGGAGUAAUGUUUUGACUCCUUGGCUCUGAAAUUAAGCCACAAAAAAAAAAAGCUACCAUUCCAUAAAGAAACCUACUCCACAAUUCCACGGCUCGCAAUACUCCCACAAACACUGGGGCUCUCCUCCUACUGUGCUCUUGCUGCAGUGCAGACUGCUGCCACCUGCCCUCAAAGAAGAAAUAUUACAGUUCACGUUUGGAAGACAUCUCACCACACUAUGGAUUUAAUCCUGGUUAAGUAUGUUGCCUGUGGCACCCUUAAACACGUGAGUGGCUUAUCAAUUUUCCCCUACUCACCUUCCAUCAUUCCAUUAAUUAUUUCUUCUAAUUUAUAUCCCUCUCUCUUUUUUUGCAGUUGCAAUUUACUGACGUCAUGUCUCACAUGCAUGCCUAACAUUGGACCUGGAUGUGGAUGAGGAGGAAGCAAAUAGAAAAACACAUGAGGUUUUUUCAGCACUUCAUAGUUUUUUGACAUCGAAAUAAUUUCUUCUAUGCCAUUGUCAGUGUAUCACCUCCACACUUCCCAGAGCUACAAAUCUAAACUCAUGCUUUAUCUUGGCCCUGGUAUUUUGAUUCCAUUCUGACCACCAGGGAUCUGAAUGCUGCUCAGCUCCAUGCAAGAUAACAUAUUUAUCAGCAUAUGACACGCACAUUUAACUCCUGAAAAGCUUUCUGUUAAAGACGGAAGAAAGAGUGAAGAUAAUGUUGAAGAUAAAGUUCUUAAAGGGUCCCAGUAGGUUGCAGUUUGCGCAGUCCUCCUUGAUAUAUCAAUCCCCCUUCAAAUCACAGUGUCCCUUUCACAGUCACGUUCUAAAGAUCAUGCACUUACCCUGAGGAGGAGCAAUGGUCCUGCCAGAAGCCGAUGCUGGAGGGUCUUGAAUGCAGCUUUCUGUUAAAGACGGAAGAAAGAGUGAAGAGUCAAGCUCUAUGAUUUUGACCCCUGCUGCUGAAUCCAGGGACAUCCUCUGCCAGAAGGACAUCUCUUAGCUCCGCCUCCCACUCUCGCAACUUGAUAGGCUUUCCUCGGUUUUGUCCUAGUCGAAGCCUCUGCAUCUUCUUUGUAACCGUUGCCCGACAAUCAUAGAACCUGCAAAUGUACAUAAACAUUACAAUUACAUUAAUAAAAAAACAAAUACUUAGAUUAAUGUUUUUUGAAAACCACAUUUCUUUUCACAUUGUGAUGGUUAUAUGUAUACUGUUCAGCAUGUGGCUGUGACAAAUAAAUUUUUUGGUUACGUUGAACUGUUA
This is a long non-coding RNA of Rana temporaria (common frog), 1311 nucleotides long. RefSeq lists it as uncharacterized. The record is from RefSeq and is a predicted model, not a curated record. NCBI's taxonomy places the organism in Eukaryota, Metazoa, Chordata, Amphibia, Anura, Ranidae. The transcript is spliced from 6 exons.